GGAUAACCUACCCUUAGGACUGGGAUAACCCUGGGAAACUGGGGCUAAUACCGGAUAGGCAAUUAUUCCUGCAAUGGUUUUUUGUUUAAAUGUUUUUUCGCCUAAGGAUGGGUCUGCGGCCGAUUAGGUAGUUGGUUAGGUAAUGGCUUACCAAGCCAUUGAUCGGUACGGGUUGUGAGAGCAAGAGCCCGGAGAUGGAACCUGAGACAAGGUUCCAGGCCCUACGGGGUGCAGCAGGCGCGAAACCUCCGCAAUGUGAGAAAUCGCGACGGGGGGAUCCCAAGUGCCAUUCUUAACGGGAUGGCUUUUCAUUAGUGUAAAGAGCUUUUGGAAUAAGAGCUGGGCAAGACCGGUGCCAGCCGCCGCGGUAACACCGGCAGCUCUAGUGGUAACAAUUUUUAUUGGGCCUAAAGCGUCCGUAGCCGGUUUAAUAAGUCUCUGGUGAAAUCCUGUAGCUUAACUGUGGGAAUUGCUGGAGAUACUAUUAGACUUGAGACCGGGAGAGGUUAGAGGUACUCCCAGGGUAGAGGUGAAAUUCUGUAAUCCUGGGAGGACCGCCUGUUGCGAAGGCGUCUAACUGGAACGGUUCUGACGGUGAGGGACGAAAGUUAGGGGCGCGAACCGGAUUAGAUACCCGGGUAGUCCUAACUGUAAACGAUGCGGACUUGGUGUUGGGGUGGCUUUGAGCUGCUCCAGUGC
Molecule: ribosomal RNA, 699 nt
Filed under: uncultured archaeon
Lineage: Archaea
Description: bacterial SSU rRNA
Rfam family: Archaeal small subunit ribosomal RNA
Source: RNAcentral